CGGUACUCAGUCCGGAUUGAAGGCUGAAAUUCACCUUCAUGAAGCUGGAAUUGCUAGUAAUGGCAGGUCAGCAUACUGCCGUGAAUACGUUCCCGGGCCUUGUACACACCGCCCGUCACACCAUGAGAGUUGGGAAUACCCGAAGCCUGUGAGCUAACGUUAAGAGGCAGCAGUCGAAGGUAGAAUCAAUGAUUGGGGUGAAGUCGUAACAAGGUACC
RNAcentral lists this ribosomal RNA (218 nucleotides) under uncultured bacterium. Its description in RNAcentral is "partial 16S ribosomal RNA". It matches the Rfam family "Bacterial small subunit ribosomal RNA", at positions 1282 to 1500 of the family's 1533-position model. The record is from RNAcentral.